RNAcentral lists this ribosomal RNA (233 nucleotides) under uncultured bacterium. Its description in RNAcentral is "partial 16S ribosomal RNA". It matches the Rfam family "Bacterial small subunit ribosomal RNA", at positions 794 to 1025 of the family's 1533-position model. The record is from RNAcentral.
UCCACGCCCUGAACGAUGAACACUAGUCGUCGGGAUGCUAGUCAUCUCGGUGAUGCACUUAACAGAUUAAGUGUUCCGCCUAGGGAGUACGGUCGCAAGAUUAAAACUCAAAGGAAUAGACGGGGACCCGCACAAGUGGUGGAGCAUGUGGUUUAAUUCGAAGAUACGCGAAGAACCUUACCUAGCCUUGACAUUGAUUGAAUUCCGCAGAGAUGUGGAAGUGCCCUUCGGGG